Molecule: ribosomal RNA, 1170 nt
Filed under: Marisediminitalea alba
Lineage: Bacteria; Pseudomonadati; Pseudomonadota; Gammaproteobacteria; Alteromonadales; Alteromonadaceae
Description: bacterial LSU rRNA
Rfam family: Bacterial large subunit ribosomal RNA
Source: RNAcentral
GUCGGGGGUCGCAGUGACCAGGUGGCUGGGACUGUUUAUUAAAAACACAGCACUCUGCAAACUCGAAAGAGGACGUAUAGGGUGUGACACCUGCCCGGUGCCGGAAGGUUAAUUGAUGGGGUUAGCGUAAGCGAAGCUCUUGAUCGAAGCCCCGGUAAACGGCGGCCGUAACUAUAACGGUCCUAAGGUAGCGAAAUUCCUUGUCGGGUAAGUUCCGACCUGCACGAAUGGUGUAACCAUGGCCACGCUGUCUCUACCCGAGACUCAGUGAAAUUGAAAUCGCAGUGAAGAUGCUGUGUACCCGCACCUAGACGGAAAGACCCCGUGAACCUUUACUACAGCUUGGCACUGAACAUUGAACCUACUUGUGUAGGAUAGGUGGGAGGCUUCGAAGCAGAGACGCUAGUUUCUGUGGAGCCGUCCUUGAAAUACCACCCUGGUAUGUUUGAUGUUCUAACGUAGGUCCCUUAUCGGGAUUGCGGACAGUGUCUGGUGGGUAGUUUGACUGGGGCGGUCUCCUCCCAAAUAGUAACGGAGGAGCACGAAGGUUAGCUAAUCACGGUCGGACAUCGUGAGGUUAGUGCAAUGGCAUAAGCUAGCUUAACUGCGAGACAGACACGUCGAGCAGGUACGAAAGUAGGUCAUAGUGAUCCGGUGGUUCUGUAUGGAAGGGCCAUCGCUCAACGGAUAAAAGGUACUCCGGGGAUAACAGGCUGAUACCGCCCAAGAGUUCAUAUCGACGGCGGUGUUUGGCACCUCGAUGUCGGCUCAUCACAUCCUGGGGCUGAAGUCGGUCCCAAGGGUAUGGCUGUUCGCCAUUUAAAGUGGUACGCGAGCUGGGUUUAGAACGUCGUGAGACAGUUCGGUCCCUAUCUGGUGUGGGCGUUGGAUGAUUGAGGGGAGCUGCUCCUAGUACGAGAGGACCGGAGUGGACGAACCGCUGGUGUUCGGGUUGUUUUGCCAAAGGCAUUGCCCGGUAGCCAAGUUCGGAAUCGAUAACCGCUGAAAGCAUCUAAGCGGGAAGCGAGCCCCAAGAUGAGUCAUCCCUGCACGUAAGUGCUGGAAGGGUUGUUAUAGACUAUGACGUUGAUAGGCAGGGUGUGGAAGCGUUGCAAGGCGUUAAGCUAACCUGUACUAAUUGCCCGAGAGGCUUAACCAUACAACGCCUAA